GACGGGACCGCACAAGCGGUGGAGUGAUGUGGUUUAAUUCGAUGCAACGCGAAAACCUUACCCACCUUUGACAUGGCAGGAAUCCCGAAGAGAUUGGAGUGCUCGAAAGAGAACCUGCACACAGGUGCUGCAUGGCUGUCGUCAGCUCGUGUCGUGAGAUGUUGGGUUAAGUCCCGCAACGAGCGCAACCCUUGCCAUUAGUUGCUACGAAAGGGCACUCUAAUGGGACUGCCGGUGACAAACCGGAGGAAGGUGGGGAUGACGUCAAGUCCUCAUGGCCCUUAUAGGUGGGGCUACACACGUCAUACAAUGGCCGGUACAGGGGGUAGCCAACCCGCGAGGGGGAGCCAAUCCCACAAAGCCGAUCGUAGUCCGGAUCGCAGUCUGCAACUCGACUGCGUGAAGUCGGAAUCGCUAGUAAUCGUGGAUCAGCAUGUCACGGUGAAUACGUUCCCGGGUCUU
RNAcentral lists this ribosomal RNA (462 nucleotides) under uncultured Allobrachymonas sp. RNAcentral describes it as "bacterial SSU rRNA". It matches the Rfam family "Bacterial small subunit ribosomal RNA", at positions 917 to 1381 of the family's 1533-position model. Lineage: Bacteria; Pseudomonadati; Pseudomonadota; Betaproteobacteria; Burkholderiales; Comamonadaceae. The record is from RNAcentral.